GAUGAACGCUAGCUACAGGCUUAACACAUGCAAGUCGAGGGGCAGCAUGAUUGAAGCUUGCUUCAAUCGAUGGCGACCGGCGCACGGGUGAGUAACACGUAUCCAACCUGCCGAUAACUCGGGGAUAGCCUUUCGAAAGAAAGAUUAAUACCCGAUAGUAUAGUAUUUCCGCAUGGUUUCACUAUUAAAGAACUUCGGUUAUCGAUGGGGAUGCGUCCCAUUAGAUAGUUGGCGGGGUAACGGCCCACCAAGUCAACGAUGGAUAGGGGUUCUGAGAGGAAGGUCCCCCACAUUGGAACUGAGACACGGUCCAAACUCCUACGGGAGGCAGCAGUGAGGAAUAUUGGUCAAUGGACGAGAGUCUGAACCAGCCAAGUAGCGUGAAGGAUGACUGCCCUAUGGGUUGUAAACUUCUUUUAUACGGGAAUAAAGUGGAGUAUGCAUACUCCUUUGUAUGUACCGUAUGAAUAAGGAUCGGCUAACUCCGUG
RNAcentral lists this ribosomal RNA (489 nucleotides) under uncultured bacterium. RNAcentral's name for it is "partial 16S ribosomal RNA". It matches the Rfam family "Bacterial small subunit ribosomal RNA", at positions 28 to 507 of the family's 1533-position model. The record is from RNAcentral.